UGAGAUUCUUCCAUGGUGGAAUGAGAAGUACCAAAAGAUACUCAAAUCUCUCACUAAUUAUGAAAUAAUUGACUUUAACCAGGACCAGGUAGUUCGAUGCUAUCCUCAUGUUAUCGUGGGUCUUAAGUUUCACAAGGAGAUGAGCAUUGACCCCUCAAAAUCGCCUUAUGGUCUUACAAUGGUUGAUUUCGGACGAUUUAUCAGGAAGUCUUUUGCACUGGAGAGGGACAUGACAAUUAAACUAGGACCAGAUCAAGGUAAGAAGCCUAGAAUUCUAAUUAUUGCAAGGAAGUGGACGAGGAGAUUUGCUAAUGUUGAUGAAAUAGUCAGAAAUGCGGAAGAGAUGGGCUUCGAAGCUGUUGUUGCAGAGGCAAAGCUUAACUUGAUUGAAUUUGCACACAUAGUUAAUUCGUGCGACGUGAUGCUGGGAGUUCAUGGUGCUGGGCUAACUA
RNAcentral lists this long non-coding RNA (452 nucleotides) under Musa acuminata (dwarf banana). RNAcentral's name for it is "long non-coding RNA (MACU_LNC002153)". Lineage: Eukaryota; Viridiplantae; Streptophyta; Magnoliopsida; Zingiberales; Musaceae. The record is from RNAcentral.